This 253-nucleotide ribosomal RNA is filed under the name uncultured bacterium. RNAcentral describes it as "partial 16S ribosomal RNA". It matches the Rfam family "Bacterial small subunit ribosomal RNA", at positions 524 to 776 of the family's 1533-position model. The record is from RNAcentral.
UACAGAGGUGGCAAGCGUUGUUCGGAAUUACUGGGCGUAAAGGGCGCGUAGGCGGCCUUCUAAGUCAGACGUGAAAUCCCCAGGCUUAACUUGGGAACUGCGUCUGAUACUGGGAGACUUGAAUGCGGGAGAGGGAUGUGGAAUUCCAGGUGUAGCGGUGAAAUGCGUAGAUAUCUGGAGGAACACCGGUGGCGAAGGCGGCAUCCUGGACCGACAUUGACGCUGAGGCGCGAAAGCCAGGGGAGCAAACGGG